GACGAACGCUGGCGGCGUGCCUAAUACAUGCAAGUAGAACGCUGAAGGAGGAGCUUGCUUCUCUGGAUGAGUUGCGAACGGGUGAGUAACGCGUAGGUAACCUGCCUGGUAGCGGGGGAUAACUAUUGGAAACGAUAGCUAAUACCGCAUAAGAGUAGAUGUUGCAUGACAUUUUCUUAAAAGUUGCAAUUGCAUCACUACCAGAUGGACCUGCGUUGUAUUAGCUAGUUGGUGGGGUAACGGCUCACCAAGGCGACGAUACAUAGCCGACCUGAGAGGGUGAUCGGCCACACUGGGACUGAGACACGGCCCAGACUCCUACGGGAGGCAGCAGUAGGGAAGCUUCGGCAAUGGACGGAAGUCUGACCGAGCAACGCCGCGUGAGUGAAGAAGGUUUUCGGAUCGUAAAGCUCUGUUGUAAGAGAAGAACGAGUGUGAGAGUGGAAAGUUCACACUGUGACGGUAUCUUACCAGAAAGGGACGGCUAACUACGUG
RNAcentral lists this ribosomal RNA (495 nucleotides) under uncultured bacterium. RNAcentral describes it as "partial 16S ribosomal RNA". It matches the Rfam family "Bacterial small subunit ribosomal RNA", at positions 28 to 507 of the family's 1533-position model. The record is from RNAcentral.